UUACGUCCCGGCACUACAAUUCCGACCGCCCCAAUACUCUGUCCUCCACUGAGACAGGCUAUCCUGUCCUUGAGGACAGGGGCAGAGUUGAUUUUUCAAGCGCAUGUGGUAGGAAAGCAACACAGCGACGACUAUGACCUGGCUUUUGCUUUGCGUGUUGCUCUCAGUGUUCGGACUCACAUCAAGAGUCACCUGAAUGGCCUCCUGGCCCAGAAUGUUAAUGGUGUGCAGGCCGGAAUGGUCAAAAUUAAAACAAAUGAACGUCAGCAUUGUCUCGGUCGUGAUAAUGAAUCCAAGUUUAUGGGUCCAUGAAAAUUUUAAGUGGUGUAGUGAGGACUUGUAUCAGUCUUAACAAUUAUUAUUAUUCAUAUGUAUAUUCAUCAUUUCAUAUAUCCAGCCCACAUGCGAUGUGUUCAUACUCAUAUAUUCAUCCCACGUGUGUCCAUGGCCAGCCAGUCUAUUCUAUUUUUAACCUUUCUCCUCCUUUUCUACCUCUAAACGGAAUUUCACAACCACUUUCAGUCCUUAGGGAAAACACCUGCGUUCGCUUCUGAGUCUUUCCUUCCUGGUCAUUGGCCAAAAUAACGAGCUCUAUCAUUGACUUUUCCACCCCAUUUCGUGGCAUUUCGUGGUCACUCUUCAUCCCGGAAACUGUACUCUUGAUCCACUUCUCUGAGAUAAAUAUAACCCACAUGCGUAGCCAGUCCUCAGUUCCACUCAGUCCCAGUCAGAGUUCCAGUUAGGCCCCUUUCAGACGUAUCGACUUUACGCCGUCCGCCGUCCACGGCACGACGUCGUUCUCUCAAAUAACCAUGGAUGUCUAUGGACGCCUUCACACGUAUCGACCGACGCCGUGAACGACUUGGCGCCGUGGACGGCCGCCGUUGUCACAACGGCGCCCAUUUGGAAACGGCACGGCGUUGCGCCGUCGACGGCGUGAAAUGUACACAGGUCUCUAUGGACUUGUUCAAACGUGUCGACGUUCCGCCGUCUGAAGUGGACGGCGCGAGUAGCGUGUCACACCACUUCAGUCGUUUCCUGACCACAGACGUGUUUAUAGUAUUGCUCACCAUUGAUAAUGGAAGACGUUGAUGUAGACGUUGAAUUGUUGAUUAGCCUGGUUGAAGAGAGGCCUGUUCUCUGGGACAAAAGCCUUGAAGCAUAUAAGUCCAAGACUGAAACCACUGCAGCAUGGAGGGAAGUCUGCAAUCAUCUGAACCCGGGCUUUGAGUCUAUGAGUGACGAUGCAAAGAACAUUUUUUGAUGGCAAAGUAGAGGACUCAACCUGUUGAGGAGCUCAUCGAAUGAUUCUUUGCUCAUUCUGAAGUAGUUGAAAAACUUUUUUGUAUCUCUUCUGAGUUCCUCAUACAGUGUGACAAAAGCUCCAACCACUGGUCUGGCAACAUUGAUAUUAUGGACCCACUUUCUGCUGUGUGAACGUUGUUUUUUCUUUUUAAAUAUAAGUAAUAUAGGUAGAGCAGGUGGUCCUGUGUGUCCAUGAUGAAAGAAUGGAGGCAACUGGCAGGUGGACGGCACAGGCCGUGCCGUUGUGUCAACGGCGCCCGCCGUCGACACCACUGCGCUCUCUCUGGAAUGCACGGCGCUGGGUCCUAGACGGCGGACGGCGUAAAGUCGAUACGUCUGAAAGGGGCCUUAGAGUUAAUCUUGGUCGCUUAGUCAGUUCCCGUUCGAAUCACAGUCAGUCUUGAGAGACGCUGCUUAGUCAUCAUCACGUGCAGCAGCUCAUAUCACUUCAGAGAGAACAAUCAAUCGUCACGUUUAUAAUCAUCUGUGUCUCAUCUCGUAUCAAGUGUAUAUAUUAUCUCUGUCAUUAAAUCAAGAAGAACUCUUAUUUAUCAUUCGUGUCUUUUACUCGCACACAUCAACUAUAUCAACUUACUACCCACGACCUCCUCCUCGCUACUGACAAUACCAAGCUCACUACCGAUACUCUACGCUACCAACACACCAAGCUCCUCAUCUGAUCCAGCAGUGGCAAGCAUGAACUGUGGCAUCAUCAUCAACUGGGCAAGUAUCUCAUCUAAACCAGGAACAGUAGAAGAGAGGUAACAUCGAUCUCAGUGUUACCGCCAACAGUGAUGCUGGCAGUUAUGGAAGUGUUUUGGAAGUUAUGAUGGAAGAACAAACAAAUGUAUGCUAAAUAACAUGUUCUGUGUUAUGAGAGUUGGUGUGAACUAGUGUUAGUGGUGUCUUAAGUUCUGGUGCUAUGAAGGUUAAGUAAAUGAGGGGAGUAUAAUCGCCAGCCGUGCCGCCUCACAAGGUCCUGUGAGGACGGCGUUGAGAGACUAAUAUGAGGUAUGUAAAACACUAAGGACGCUAAGUUAAUUAGAAUAGAGAUUAAGGAAACUGAAUUCAUUAUAGUAGUUUAUUGCAGUAGUGAAGUUGUGUGAGAAGGACUAGCUGUGGAGAGCUUAGCUAUAGAGAGAUAGUGAUGGUCGUGUUUGUGUGGUAAAGUUGAUGACAUGGCGUGUAGGGUAGAUAAGACACAUGGGUCACUCAGGAACUAUCGCUGAUAUAAGGGUAAGGUGGGCAGGCGCGAGGAGCCGCGGGCCAGCAGGGACGAAGCCCUGAAGGGCAGAUUCCUUUGUGCCGCCACCGGGUUAGGGUAUGACUACUCCAGGAUAGAUCGGACCACUACAAUACAGAUGCAGGUGUUGCUUGGUGACAGGCCUCCUUAAGAUCCCAAACACGGAGUGGUUCCCCAACAGUCUCCGGGAGGAUUGCCAGCAAGAAACACGCUGCCAAGGAGGUCACUCCAAAUAGGACUGACGGUAGCCAGGGAAACGCCACGGCCUGAGGAGAGGAGAGGAGAUAGAUGGUGGGCUGUGCAGUUACACCAAGCAGUGACGUCACAGGGUACGGACCUCGGUGGGCUGCAGCUCUGCCUGAUAGACCACGAGGAUCAUGUACGCCCCGCUGACUGUCAGUUUUCCCAGCAUGGCUAGUGUCAGCACCAGCCACGACAUAUCUACGAGAUGGAAGAAACGUGAGUGCUGACGCAAAUGAAGGGAACAGAGAUAUUGUGGAAUAAGAAGCAACAACAGCAGCAGUAGUAACAGUAGUAGUAGUAGUAGUAGUAGUAGUAGUAGUAGUAGUAGUAGUAGUAGUAGUAGUAGUGCUUAGUAGCAGUAGCAGUAUCAGUACUUAGUACUACUACUAGUAGUAGUAGUAGUAGUAGUAGUAGUAGUAAUAGUAGUAGUAGUAGUAGUAGCAUCAGCAGCAUCAGCAGCAGCAGCAACAACAACAACAACAACAACAAUAACAGCAGCAGCAGCAGCAGCAGUGGCAUUAUUAUCAUUAGUAAUAGUAGUAGUAACAGUAAUAACAGUAGUUGUAGUAAUAAUAGUAGUAGUAGCAGCAGCAGCAGCAGUAGUAAUAGUAGUAGUAGUAGAAGUAGUAGCAGCAGCAAAAGGGAGUAUGACAGAACAAGUCUUUCAGUUUUGUGAUACAGGUUUCUUCAUUCCGCUGGGUGGAGUUGAGGGAUAACUUGUAAAAAUUGUGACGGUGUUUCACAUAUGGUUUCUCAAUAUCAACUCAGCCAAUUCUCUUGAAACUUGGUAUUUAUCGUGUAUUCUUGAAAUGCUCAAUAAAUGAACAUGUCAAAUCUGAAUAUACGCUGCAUAUGCGUAAAUGCCUCAUAACAACUCAUGAAUCAAACCUGACUUUAAUAAGGUGAUCAAACUGAAAUUUGGUGAGUAUUAUGGGCUGACAACGCUUACACGAAUGAAUAUGCAAAAUUCAUAUUCCUUCUGCGCAUGCUCAAACCACCGGGUAAAACGUGGACAAAAUAAAUAACGUCGAGUUUUCUGCAACUUUAACCCACUAAAUUUAGCUUGAGAGAUGUACAAUACAGUGCAGACUCAGGUCACUGGGGAUGCCGACAGAUGAGUUAAUGGGGGUGUACCUCACCUUCAUCCUCCCCAAACUCAUGUACGCCUCCCCAGCGUGGUCCUCCUCCCUCACACACACUCAACAGCUACAGCUAGAGAGUGUGCAGAAAAGGGCGUGCAGGGUCAUCCUUGGCCCUGCCUACACCACCUAUGAAGGAGCCCUGACCACCCUGAGUCUGUCCAGACUAUCCACCAGGCACCGAGAGGCUCUGGAGAAGUUUGGAAAGGGACUACUGCAUCAUCCACGUCUCAGACCCAUGCCGCCGCCUGACGCGCCUCGCCCAGUCCGUGCCACCAGACACCACAACAAGAUAAAGCCCCUAAAGGCGCCGCGCACGGACCGGUACAGACUCAGCGCGAUUCCCUCCAUGGUGCGAGCCAUCAAUCAAUAGUCCCUUCUAGAUUAGACUUACCUUUAGGAUUAAUGUUAAGUAUUUCCCCACCCCCUUUGUACAUUUUCAGUUUUUUUUUUUUCUUUUAUGUAGGAAGGACACUGGCCAAGGGCAACAAAAAUCCAAUGAAAAAAUAUGCCCACCGAAAUGCCAGUCCCAUAAAAGGGUCAGAGCAGUGGUCAAAAAUUGAUGAAUAAGUGUCUUGAAACCUCCCUCUUGAAGGAAUUCAAGUCAUAGGAAGGUGGAAAUACAGAAGUAGGCAGGGAGUUCCAGAGUUUACCAGAGAAAGGGAUGAAUGAUUGAGAAUACUGGUUAACUCUUGCGUUAGAGAGGUGGACAGAAUAGGGGUGAGAGAAAGAAGAAAGUCUUGUGCAGCGAGGCCGCGGAAGGAGGGGAGGCAUGCAGUUAGCAAGAUCAGAAGAGCAGUUAGCAUGAAAAUAGCGGUAAAAGACAGCUAGAUAUGCAACAUUGCGGCGGUGAGAGAGAGGCUGAAGACAGGCUGUUAGAGGAGAGGAGUCGAUGAGACGAAAAGCUUUUGAUUCCACCUUGUCUAGUAGAACAGUAUGAGUGGAACCCCCCCCCAGACAUGUGAAGCAUACUCCAUACAUGGACGGAUAAGGCCCUUGUAAAGAGUUAGCAGCUGGGGGGGGGGAUGAGAAAAACUGGCGGAGACGUCUCAGAACACCUAACUUCAUGGAAGAUGUUUUAGCUAGAGACGAGAUGUGAAGUUUCCAGUUCAGAUUAUAAGUAAAGGACAGACCAAGGAUGUUCAGUGUAGAAGAGGGGAACAGUUGAGUGUCAUUGAAGAAGAGGGGAUAGUUGUCUGGAAGGUUGUGUCGAGUUGAUAGAUGGAGGAAUUGAGUUUUUGAGGCAUUGAACAAUACCAAGUUUGCUCUGCCCCAAUCAGAAAUUUUAGAAAGAUCAGAAGUCAAGCGUUCUGUGGCUUCCCUGCGUGAUAUGUUUACCUCCUGAGGGGUUGGACGUCUAUGAAAAGACGGAAAAGUGCAGGGUAGUAUCAUCAGCAUAAGAGUGGAUAGGACAAGAAGUUUGGUUUAGAAGAUCAUUAAUGAAUAAUAAGAAGAGAGUGGGUGACAGGACAGAAUCCUGAGGAACACCACUGUUAAUAGAUAUAGGAGAAGAACAGUGACCGUCUACCACAGCAGCAAUAGAACGGUCAGAAAGGAAAUUUGAGCUGAAGUUACAGAGAGAAUAGAAACCGUAGGAGGGUAGUUUGGAAAUCAAAACUUUGUGCCAGACUCUAUCAAAAGCUUUUGAUAUGUCCAAGGCAACAGCAAAAGUUUCACCAAAAUCUCUAAAAGAUAAUAAUAAACCGUUUAUUAUUAUUAUUAUUAUUAUUAUUAUUUUUUUUACACACACACACACACACACACACACACACACACACACACACACACACACACACACACACACACACACACACACACACACACACACACACACACACACACACACACA
This is a long non-coding RNA of Scylla paramamosain (green mud crab), 5779 nucleotides long. RefSeq lists it as uncharacterized. NCBI's taxonomy places the organism in Eukaryota, Metazoa, Arthropoda, Malacostraca, Decapoda, Portunidae. The transcript is spliced from 3 exons. The record is from RefSeq and is a predicted model, not a curated record.